CCCUGGGUAGUACAAAAAGGUUAACAUGUUUGGCUGCAAACCAAAAGGUUGGAGGUUCAAGUCCACCCAAAGGUG
This 75-nucleotide transfer RNA is filed under the name Loxodonta africana (African savanna elephant). It matches the Rfam family "tRNA". Rfam says of the family: Transfer RNA (tRNA) molecules are approximately 80 nucleotides in length. Their secondary structure includes four short double-helical elements and three loops (D, anti-codon, and T loops). Further hydrogen bonds mediate the characteristic L-shaped molecular structure. tRNAs have two regions of fundamental functional importance: the anti-codon, which is responsible for specific mRNA codon recognition, and the 3' end, to which the tRNAs corresponding amino acid is attached (by aminoacyl-tRNA synthetases). tRNAs cope with the degeneracy of the genetic code in two manners: having more than one tRNA (with a specific anti-codon) for a particular amino acid; and 'wobble' base-pairing, i.e. permitting non-standard base-pairing at the 3rd anti-codon position. Lineage: Eukaryota; Metazoa; Chordata; Mammalia; Proboscidea; Elephantidae. The record is from Rfam by way of RNAcentral.